CCUACGGGCGGCAGCAGUGGGGGAUAUUGCACAAUGGGGGAAACCCUGAUGCAGCGACGCCGCGUGGGUGAAGAAGGGCCUCGGCGCGUAAAGCCCUGUCAGCAGGGAAGAAAAUGACGGUACCUGAAGAAUCAGCCCCGGCUAACUACGUGCCAGCAGCCGCGGUAAUACGUAGGUGGCAAGCGUUGUCCGGAUUUAAUGGGUGUAAAGGGAGUGCAGCCGGGGAGACAAGUCAGAUGUGAAAUCCACGGGCUGAACCCGGGACCUGCAUUUGAAACUGUGUCCCUUGAGUGUCGGAGAGGAAAGCGGAAUUCCUUGUGUAGCGGUGAAAUGCGUAGAUAUAAGGAAGAACACCAGUGGCGAAGGCGGAUUACUGGACGAUAACUGACGGUGAGGCGCGAAAGCGUGGGGAGCAAACAGGAUUAGAUACCCGAGUAGUC
This 440-nucleotide ribosomal RNA is filed under the name uncultured bacterium. RNAcentral's name for it is "partial 16S ribosomal RNA". It matches the Rfam family "Bacterial small subunit ribosomal RNA", at positions 338 to 795 of the family's 1533-position model. The record is from RNAcentral.